CAAGGUUUCCGUAGGUGAACCUGCGGAAGGAUCAUUAUCGAAACCCGAGGGUGCAGAGGGUGAUCGGAGAGAUCCGUUCCUCCGAAGCCCUUCGCUUUUACUCUUUGACACACCCGCGUGCACCCCAUUCGCAAGGGUCCCUUCGGGACCUGUGCGUUUCGUCUCUGACUCGCAUGUCUACAGAAUGUCGAUAGCAUUUGAUAUAUAUAUAAAAAUACAACUUUCAGCAACGGAUCUCUUGGCUCUCGCAUCGAUGAAGAACGCAGCGAAUCGCGAUAAGUAAUGUGAAUUGCAGAUUUUCCGUGAAUCAUCGAAUCUUUGAACGCACCUUGCGCUCCUUGGUAUUCCGAGGAGCAUGCCUGUUUGAGUGUCAUCGAAAUCUCAAACCAAGCCUUCUUUUUUUGACUUCGGUCGAAGGCUCGGGUUUGGAUCGUUGGGAGUCUGCGGGCGACGCACGUCGUCGGCUCUCCUGAAAUGCAUUAGCGGUGGGCAUGCAAGUCUUGCUUGGCACCAGCCUCUCCCGGCGUCAUAAUGAUCGUCGCGGGCUUGCCAGCUGCAAGGGACGUGUCCCAUGCUUCUCCAACUUUGCGAGCCCCCCCCACCCCUCCCUCUCCGCGUGCGGCGCUCUG
This 629-nucleotide small RNA is filed under the name uncultured Pisolithus. RNAcentral describes it as "eukaryotic LSU rRNA". The stretch from base 219 to 373 matches the Rfam family "5.8S ribosomal RNA". Lineage: Eukaryota; Fungi; Basidiomycota; Agaricomycetes; Boletales. The record is from RNAcentral.